Molecule: long non-coding RNA, 713 nt
Organism: Meriones unguiculatus (Mongolian gerbil)
Lineage: Eukaryota; Metazoa; Chordata; Mammalia; Rodentia; Muridae
Exons: 3
Source: RefSeq, a predicted model, not a curated record
CUGAGCCCUCUUGGGACUCAGUCAGUCAGGGAGUCUCCAGUCCCUAGGGAGGCGCUUGCCCAUCACCCAGCAGCAGCAGCAGUCACCCCGACCCCCGCCCCGGUGGGUCUGUUGCAGUCACCUGUUAAAACAGAACUCAGACGCUCUUCAGGGACGAACGAAACGUCAAAAACUAAGAGUUGGCCCUUGGCCCACCCGUUAAUGACUCAGUGAUAGCCAUGACAGGCUGUAAACCCUGACACACUGCGGACUGCCAAGGACUUUGGACUCUUCCCGUUCUGUAUGCAGGCCACAGAGGCUCCUUACCCAUGCCAUGCUCUCAGAUUUCCAGAACUGGGAAUCAAAGAAGCUCUCUUCCCAGUCUCAGACAUUCUGACACAGCAACAGAAAACAGACUAAGGGAGUGUCACGAUAAGCUUGAUUGAGACUCAUAAAGAAUGGUGAAUGAGGCGUCAUCAACUCCUAUAACUGCACACAGUGUUGAUCCACUAGGGACUCCUAGCACAGUAGUAAAGUCUCAAAAUGGACCCAAGGCUAGGCUGGUGACUGCUUCCCCCUUCUUUAGGGAAGUCUCCUGGGGUGACCUUGCCCCCACACCCCACAUUCCUUAUAGUCACACCAACCUGAUGGACUGUUACGGGUGUUUGAGGCUAACACGAGGCAAUCUGAUUGACCCUUCAAUCAUAUAAAGGCUGUUCCACUACACAAUAAAG